Zea mays is the source of this 384-nucleotide long non-coding RNA. RefSeq lists it as uncharacterized. The transcript has 2 exons. The record is from RefSeq and is a predicted model, not a curated record. Lineage: Eukaryota; Viridiplantae; Streptophyta; Magnoliopsida; Poales; Poaceae.
AGGAAGGUGACUGGCGCAUCGUUAGACUCAAAACUCAUCAACGUCAUCUGCGAAGUCUUCGUCAUCACCCUCUAAUCAAAAUAUUAGCAAGGGUGAGCUUAGUUAUGGUCGGAGCUCAUCAAGUGGGGGAAAUAAUGCAAAGUUAACAAGGUUGUCCCCACUAUAUUCAAUGCUCAGGAGGAGAUGCUGGCAACAUGGAGAACUUUGAGGAGUUUCAGGACUACGACGAGUUCUAGUUAUCUUAGUGGCAAACCCCUAAUCAGCUGCCUAUGAAGGUCUUAUCUACUACGUUUUGUAGUCCGCACUUUGCUAAUGUUAAAUGACUAUGUUAUAGACUCUGUGGAUGUCUUGGACAUCUUGAUGUAAUAAAGUACCUUUCCGCUA